This 1248-nucleotide ribosomal RNA is filed under the name Triticum aestivum (bread wheat). RNAcentral describes it as "partial small subunit ribosomal RNA". Lineage: Eukaryota; Viridiplantae; Streptophyta; Magnoliopsida; Poales; Poaceae. The record is from RNAcentral.
AUGAGCAAUGCUCUACUUGCCCCUUGUACCGUGGAAGAUGUUCGCAAGGCUUUAUUCGAUAUUGGGGACUUAAAAUCUCCAGGGCCAGAUGGACUCAAUGAUAUUUUCUACAAAAGAUUAUGGCCCAUGCUAGGGGAGGACCUAAUUGAGGAGGUUCUAAAAGCAAUCAACACAUGUACUAUCCCGAACGGUUGGAAAGAUAUGGCGAUCGUGAUGAUUCCUAAGAUUAAUACACCCGAAAAGGUAACACAAUUUAGGCCGAUCAGGUUAUGUAAUGUGGUAUACAAAAUAAUUUCAAAAAUGGUGGAUUCUCGAUUGAAGGCUUUUUUACCAGAAAUUAUUAGUCCAACACAGAGUGCAUUUAUACUGGGAAGAUUGAUAACGGAUAAUAUUUUAGUAGGCUAUGAAUGUUUUCACAAAAUCAAGAACAACAGAGAAGGUAGAGAGGGCUUGUGUGCUAUAAAACUUCACAUGCACAAAGCACAUGAUAGAGUCGAGUGGCCCUUUAAGGAGAUUAUGUUGAGAUUAGGUUUUCAUCGAGAAUGGGUGAAUUUUAUUAUGCAAUGCGUCUCAACUGUCGAAUACAGAGUAAGGAUCAAUGCGGAGGAAAGUGAGAGUUUCAAGCCUACUAGAGGGUUGAGGCAGGGUGACCAGCUAUCACCAUACCUCUUUUUGUUGUGCACAGAGGGGUUGAAUGCCUUGCUUACAUAUGCUGAGGAGAACGGAGACAUAUCAAGAGUUAAAGUCUAUAGAGACUCCCUACCAGUCAUAAUCUUCUCUUUUGCGGAUGAUUCGUUGAUCUUGAUGAAAGCCAACCAACAUAGUGCGACGGCCCUGACAGCACUAGAUCUUUAUUGUGCGGCGUCGGGACAACUGGUAAGCAUGGAAAAGUCCAUUAUUUUCUUUAGUCCUAAUACAAUGGUAGAGAUUAGAGAACAACUGUGUACAACACUGAAUAUAAUGACAGAGGCACUGAAUGACAAAUACUUGGGCUUGCCAGGAAAUUUGGGUGUUGAUAAAAUAGACUGCUUUAAAUUUUUGAUUGAGUGAAUUGUUAAGAAAAUUAGUGGUUGGAAGGAAAAAUUACUGUCUGCCGGGGGGAAGGAGAUCCUACUCAAGAUUGUGAUCCAAGCCAUACCUACCUAUGCAAUGUCGGUCUUUAAAAUUCCUAAAAAAAUUGUAAAGGAUAUUGGCGCGAUAGCGCAUUUCUGGUGGGGAGACGAGGAGAACCAGAGGAGGAUGCACUAG